This is an RNA transcript of Felis catus (domestic cat), 2112 nucleotides long. RefSeq lists it as uncharacterized. The transcript has 11 exons. The record is from RefSeq and is a predicted model, not a curated record. Lineage: Eukaryota; Metazoa; Chordata; Mammalia; Carnivora; Felidae.
GGCUGGGCUCCGUGAUCUCCACCGUCUCGAAGUUCAAGCGGUCCUGAGCCAGCUCGAGCAUGAGCAGCGGCGCCCAGCAGUUGCGCACCAGCACCAGUUGCUGGUCCAGAGGGAGCACCUGGAAGCAGGGGAGAACAGAGCCCAGGCAAAGUUGGAUAUUCUAGCAUUUCUGAACGUGCCACCCUGAUGUCAUUUACAUGGCAGAGAGAGGGAAGAUGUGGAGAAGAUGGAACACGGGUCAGGCUGUCCUCCUCGCUCUACUCCAGGGCUGCCGUCUCUGGCUGGCCAGUCAGGGCCUGCGCUGCACCAAGCACUUAGCGCUGUAUCCUCAUUGAGAAGAUGCCCUUUGAACAAAGACCUGAAGAAUGGCCUGCAGAUGUCUCUGGGAAAUCGUCCAGUUUCUCCGAGGACCAGGGUUAAGAACAUGUGGAAAUAUUUAUGUGGUGAAAUGAAUACUGGAACAAGAGCUACAAGAAUUGAAUUUUAGUGUUAUCGUCUGCCAACAAACCACGCAUCUUUGAGUAAAGCCAUGCAGCAUCCCUGGCCCAGAUUGUUAAGAAAAAAUGAGGCUGUUCAAUUGGAUGUCUUAAAUAUGUUUUCUAGCUUAAAGGUGACGGUAUUAGAAGGUGGAGCUUUGGGAGGUGCUGAAGUCUCUAGGGUGAAGCCCUGAUGAAUGGGAUUAGUGCCUUAUAAAAGGGGCUUCACAGAGCCCCCCUCCCCUCCCUGCCGUGUCGGGAUCCGAUCAGAUGCCUGCCACCUGGAAGAAGGCCUUCGCUGACCGUGCUGGCGCCUUGAUCUCGAACUCCCAGUCUCCAGAACGAGUGUGACUCCCACUGCGUCAGCUGUUCAGUUGGAGAAAGGCCACUCAAUUAUCCAGCCACAAUAUACAAUGUAAUUGACAAUCAUCCUUGGGCUGAGACAUUUUCUCCUUGGAGACUCCCCUGAUUGAAGUUGGGCUACGUACACAUACUGAAGGUCUCUGGAUUCCCUGGCAACCUAGGAAAUCGAACUCCCUGGCCUUGGGUCACUUAGCCUUGUCCUCAGAGACGAUGCCGGCCAAAACCGUGAAGGAGCAGCCUAUCCAUUCUUUCGGUGCGAGAACUUUUGCCUUUAUUGCCUACAUAUGGAAAAAUGGUCUUGUGGAACAAAGUCAAAUGUCAUUCACGAAUGAAUGAAUCAGCAUAUGUCUACCAAACACAUCAUUCCUGUAUCUGGAUUUGUGCAUAUCAGAGAAGGAGGAUGCAUGAUCGAAGCAAUGAAGAACGUUUAAUCCUCAUUAGAGCGAGAAGGCACGGACAUGUGAAAAUGCAGACGUGAAAGCCACUGUAUCAGCACCUGCUGCAGUAUGGCUCUGUGAUACGCAGCCUCAAAAAUCUCAGUGAUAUAAAGCAGCAAGCGUAAUUUUCACUCAAAGCUCCUGGAUCUCUCCGGCAUCAGACUAGAGUGGACGAGGAGUCAAACGUCUUCCUACCUUCUGUCUAGGUUGCCGUCUAACGACCCAAAGCGUGAGUGAAGUUGCCCAAUCGAUCUUGGUCGGGCUUAACCAGACGGCUCCAAGCUGCGGGUGGGAUCCCGCUCUGCCUCACACAUCCGUCCACCUCCUCGGGCCACUGGACAGACUGGCGGGACCACGGUCUUCCCACGGUGAUGACAGAGGCGCAGAGGCCCCCAAGCCCAGAAGCGAUCGUCACAAUCUCAUGCAAACUGAAACGAUCAGAUUUGUCAAGGCUGUGGAUUGACCAGAUGUCUUGUAUGUUGCUGCUGAGAAUGGACUUCUCACCUUAUUUGCAAAAUUCAUGUAGCCCGUGACCCAGCAAUUCAGCUGUUAGGUGUGCCUCCAUGAGAAACUCAUCGAUACCCACCGACAGUGCCACCAGGCCGACAGUUAGUGAGGUCAGUGCGAAACCUAGACGGUCAUCAGUGAGGUUUAUGUGAAACACGCACGGGACACUCUGGCUUCACAGUUGUGUCAUUUAUUGCAUGUGUGUUUUACCGUAUCGUGAUGAUUUUUUUUUUUUUUGCGCGCUAAACCAUUUUGUCUAUAAAAAAGGGGGGCGCCUGGGUGGCUCAGUCGGCUGAGUGUCCGACUUCGGCUCGGGUCAUGAUCUCGCA